RNAcentral lists this long non-coding RNA (214 nucleotides) under Jatropha curcas. RNAcentral describes it as "long non-coding RNA (JCUR_LNC003152)". Lineage: Eukaryota; Viridiplantae; Streptophyta; Magnoliopsida; Malpighiales; Euphorbiaceae. The record is from RNAcentral.
UAUUGUCAAAAUCAUAAGGGGUGUGCUACCAGGAAUUAUUACUUGGCACAUAUGGAAAACAUAUAACAACAUCACUCAUGAUGAGGAACAAUUCAAUCAGAACAGGCUGAUACAGGAAAUUACAUGGAUGACUUACCAUUGGGCAAUGAAUCUUGAGCAUUCCAGACUAGCCAAAAAUCACGAAAGACUAAUUCUUGCAAAGCUUACUCCCCAA